CGUUGAUUGAUUAUGGUGAGACUAAUGUGAAACAUACCAUAAGUAAUGGUCAGAAUAAAACCCCAUGAGUAAUGGUCAGAAUAAAACCAUUGUACACACCGAAUGAUUUAUCAAAUCAGCAAGGGCUAAAAGCAAAUAAAUCAAAUCCCAGAAAUUGACACCCAUAUUGCUGAUGAGGGCAAGCGUCAGUGUAAUAAUAAGAUUGCUUGACCAGGAAGUCAUAAAUUCAAAUCAUAGAAAUAACCUUUUCACAAUGUAAGAAGACUCUGCAUCAGGACUCCAGAUAACAACGAGC
RNAcentral lists this unclassified non-coding RNA (295 nucleotides) under Hevea brasiliensis (rubber tree). The record is from RNAcentral. Lineage: Eukaryota; Viridiplantae; Streptophyta; Magnoliopsida; Malpighiales; Euphorbiaceae.